This 563-nucleotide long non-coding RNA is filed under the name Struthio camelus australis. RNAcentral's name for it is "lncRNA (ENSSCUG00000006443.1)". The record is from RNAcentral. Lineage: Eukaryota; Metazoa; Chordata; Aves; Struthioniformes; Struthionidae.
GCUCCAUAACAGCAAAUAAAAGUCUGGCUCAAGAAUAGCUGUACUUGUAUUUGAGUUCUCUCCCCAAGGUGUAUGCCUUACUUGCUUAGAAGCCUGUCCCUUCCCUGUCACCUUCUAUGCGUCUCGUAUUUUGUUGGCAGUGCUGAACACUCCGAGACUCAUCAAUGCUAUGCAACAAUUCCAAGCGAAGUCUGUCCUGAACUCCUCCGUGGCUGAGAGCUGGCAGGGGAUGCGCCAUACAGAAGGCUCUCUGAGCUGUCCUCCCCUUGACUCAGGAUUUGGUCUAUGACUGCUGAUAAGCCGCAACCGUAAUCAGAGAAGCCUGAUUAAGAUCACCAGUUUGGCAAGAAAUGAAAGACUUUACAUCUGGUAUUUGCAGAUAGAACCUGGCAGAGCUGGCUUCCUCAAGUCCAUACUGAAAGACAGUAGGUACUGUUGUUUAUUAUCCGCUUGUAUAGAGGUGAGUUUCAGGUGUGAGGUGGUAUUGGUGGACUAGUUUUACAGAGAUGAAUGUUUAUCAUUCAUCUCACAAGCUUGCCAACCUAAUCAAAGUUAAAUCUUCC